Molecule: ribosomal RNA, 442 nt
Filed under: uncultured bacterium
Lineage: Bacteria
Description: partial 16S ribosomal RNA
Rfam family: Bacterial small subunit ribosomal RNA
Source: RNAcentral
CCUACGGGAUGCAGCAGUGGGGAAUAUUGGGCAAUGGGCGCAAGCCUGACCCAGCAAUGCCGCGUGAAGGAAGAAGGCUUUCGGGUUGUAAACUUCUUUGACAGGGGAAGAGCAGAAGACGGUACCCUGAAAACAAGCCACGGCUAACUACGUGCCAGCAGCCGCGGUAAUACGUAGGUGGCAAGCGUUGUCCGGAUUUACUGGGUGUAAAGGGCGUGUAGCCGGGAAGGCAAGUCAGAUGUGAAAUCUGGAGGCUCAACCUCCAAAUUGCAUUUGAAACUGUUUUUCUUGAGUACUGGAGAGGCAGACAGAAUUCCUUGUGUAGCGGUGAAAUGCGUAGAUAUAAGGAGGAACACCAGUGGCGAAGGCGGUCUGCUGGACAGCAACUGACGGUGAGGCGCGAAAGCGUGGGGAGCAAACAGGAUUAGAUACCCCGGUAGUC